Molecule: ribosomal RNA, 501 nt
Filed under: uncultured bacterium
Lineage: Bacteria
Description: partial 16S ribosomal RNA
Rfam family: Bacterial small subunit ribosomal RNA
Source: RNAcentral
AUUGAACGCUGGCGGCAGGCUUAACACAUGCAAGUCGAGCGGGGGAAGGUAGCUUGCUACUGGACCUAGCGGCGGACGGGUGAGUAAUGCUUAGGAACCUGCCUAUUAGUGGGGAACAACAUCUCGAAAGGGAUGCUAAUACCGCAUACGUCCUACGGGAGAAAGCAGGGGAUCUUCGGACCUUGCGCUAAUAGAUGAGCCUAAGUCGGAUCAGCUAGUUGGUGGGGUAAAGGCCUACCAAGGCGACGAUCUGUAGCGGGUCUGAGAGGAUGAUCCGCCACACUGGGACUGGAACACGGCCCAGACUCCUACGGGAGGCAGCAGUGGGGAAUAUUGGACAAUGGGGGGAACCCUGAUCCAGCCAUGCCGCGUGUGUGAAGAAGGCCUUAUGGUUGUAAAGCACUUUAAGCGAGGAGGAGGCUACUUUAGUUAAUACCUAGAGAUAGUGGACGUUACUCGCAGAAUAAGCACCGGCUAACUCUGUGCCAGCCGCCGCCGUAA